UAGCUCGGGUUUCUCUUCAACUCACGAAAAAUCUUUCGCCUUUAAUAAAGAAUUUCGUGGAGAGGAACAACUUAAUAGUCUAAUGACUUUAUUUUUCUCAGCCCUGUCCCUGCAGUAAU
Molecule: small nuclear RNA, 119 nt
Organism: Pomacea canaliculata
Lineage: Eukaryota; Metazoa; Mollusca; Gastropoda; Architaenioglossa; Ampullariidae
Product: U5 spliceosomal RNA
Exons: 1
Source: RefSeq, a predicted model, not a curated record